AGAGCCCGUGCUUAAAAACUUUUUAUUUUUAAGGGUUUUAAGCAGACAGUUCAGAGAGAACCCACUGCACUAUGGUAUUUAAUCCACAUGCUGACCACGGGUACAUCGAUUUUAAAAAGGAAGAAAACACAAGGGAAGCCUCCAGGUACCAACUACAUCAGCAACUCCUGCCCGGGGCGGGCAGCGCAGGACUUUCCACAUCCUUCCAAUCCGUGACUUUACACUCUGCGUUCAUAUAAUUUGCACCCACAGGAAACACAUUGUGCAAAACAGUGACAACACGGUUUACUAUAUGCCAGCAAUGGUCACGUGCCAGCCGCUGUUCUAAUCACUUUACUUACGUCAUUUCAUUAGCCACCCCCAACCCUGUGAGGCUGGCACAAAUAUUUCAUUUUACAGAAAAGGUGAAACACAAAGACAUUGAAGUAACGGACCCACAGACACAGCACUGAAUUUUUUACA
This is a long non-coding RNA of Pipistrellus kuhlii (Kuhl's pipistrelle), 462 nucleotides long. RefSeq lists it as uncharacterized. The transcript has 3 exons. Lineage: Eukaryota; Metazoa; Chordata; Mammalia; Chiroptera; Vespertilionidae. The record is from RefSeq and is a predicted model, not a curated record.